GACGAACGCUGGCGGCGUGCCUAAUACAUGCAAGUCGAGCGAAUUUCUUUGGAGCUUGCUCCAAAGAAGUUAGCGGCGGACGGGUGAGUAACACGUGGGCAAUCUGCCCGUAAGACUGGGAUAACUCCGGGAAACCGGGGCUAAUACCGGAUAAUCCCGACUCUCUCCUGAGAGUCGGUUGAAAGAUGGUUUCGGCUAUCACUUACGGAUGAGCCCGCGGCGCAUUAGCUAGUUGGUGAGGUAACGGCUCACCAAGGCGACGAUGCGUAGCCGACCUGAGAGGGUGAUCGGCCACACUGGGACUGAGACACGGCCCAGACUCCUACGGGAGGCUG
Molecule: ribosomal RNA, 335 nt
Filed under: uncultured Bacillota bacterium
Lineage: Bacteria; Bacillati; Bacillota
Description: bacterial SSU rRNA
Rfam family: Bacterial small subunit ribosomal RNA
Source: RNAcentral